GACGAACGCUGGCGGCGUGCUUAACACAUGCAAGUCGAACGGUGAAGCGCCUUCCUUUUUGGUGGGUGUGGAUGAGUGGCGAACGGGUGAGUAACACGUGAGUAACCUGCCCCCUUCUUCUGGAUAACCGCAUGAAAGUGUGGCUAAUACGGGAUAUUCUGGGUCUGUCGCAUGAUGGGUCUGGGAAAGAUAUUGUUUCGGUGGGGGAUGGGCUCGCGGCCUAUCAGCUUGUUGGUGGGGUGAUGGCCUACCAAGGCGGUGACGGGUAGCCGGCCUGAGAGGGUGGACGGUCACACUGGGACUGAGACACGGACCAGACUCCUACGGGAGGCAGCAGGGGGGAAUAUUGCACAAUGGGCGCAAGCCUGAUGCAGCGACGCCGCGUGAGGGAUGGAGGCCUGCGGGUUGUGAACCUCUUUCGCCAGUGAAGCAGGCCUGCCUCGUUUGUGGGUGGGUUGACGGUAGCUGGAGAAGAAGCGCCGGCUAACUACGUG
RNAcentral lists this ribosomal RNA (494 nucleotides) under uncultured bacterium. Its description in RNAcentral is "partial 16S ribosomal RNA". It matches the Rfam family "Bacterial small subunit ribosomal RNA", at positions 28 to 507 of the family's 1533-position model. The record is from RNAcentral.